GCUGACUCUCUUUUCAGACUCAGCCCACUUGCACCCAAGUGAAUUAACAGCCUUGUUGCUCACACAAAGCCUGUUUAGGUGGUCUUCUAUACGGACAUGCUUGACACUUGGUGCCAAAAUCUGGGCCAGGGGGACUCCUUCGUGAGACCGGCCCCCUGUCCUGGCCCUCAUUCCGUGAAGAGAUCCACCUGCGACCUCGGGUCCUCAGACCAGCCCAAGGAACAUCUCACCAAUUUCAAAUCGGGGUCCCUGGAGCUCUGGCUCAAAGCUCUCUGGCUGACUCCUUCCCAGAUCUCCUCGGCUUAGUGGCUGAAGACUGAUGCUGCCCGAUCGCCUCAGAAGCCCCUUGGACCAUCACAGAUGCCGAGCUUCGGGUAACUCUUACGGUGGAGGGAUCUGCAAUCAGAACUAUUGAACUUCUCCAUUCAGACCGCCACUCACACCUAUGGGAAAAGGGUAAUGUAUCAUCGGCUUAGCAACAGGGAAUACUAUUCGUAUGAUGGAAAAUGGGGACAAAAGGCUUUGGUACAUAAAACAUUAUUCCUUCCUUGGCCUAAAAACUCAUCGCCACCUACAUUAAAGCUAAUAUGCCUG
This 594-nucleotide long non-coding RNA is filed under the name Homo sapiens (human). Its description in RNAcentral is "urothelial cancer associated 1". The record is from RNAcentral. Lineage: Eukaryota; Metazoa; Chordata; Mammalia; Primates; Hominidae.